RNAcentral lists this ribosomal RNA (2915 nucleotides) under Escherichia coli. Its description in RNAcentral is "partial 23S ribosomal RNA". It matches the Rfam family "Bacterial large subunit ribosomal RNA". Lineage: Bacteria; Pseudomonadati; Pseudomonadota; Gammaproteobacteria; Enterobacterales; Enterobacteriaceae. The record is from RNAcentral.
GUUAAGCGACUAAGCGUACACGGUGGAUGCCCUGGCAGUCAGAGGCGAUGAAGGACGUGCUAAUCUGCGAUAAGCGUCGGUGAGGUGAUAUGAACCGUUAUAACCGGCGAUUUCCGAAUGGGGAAACCCAGUGUGUUUCGACACACUAUCAUUAACUGAAUCCAUAGGUUAAUGAGGCGAACCGGGGGAACUGAAACAUCUAAGUACCCCGAGGAAAAGAAAUCAACCGAGAUUCCCCCAGUAGCGGCGAGCGAACGGGGAGGAGCCCAGAGCCUGAAUCAGUGUGUGUGUUAGUGGAAGCGUCUGGAAAGGCGCGCGAUACAGGGUGACAGCCCCGUACACAAAAAUGCACAUACUGUGAGCUCGAUGAGUAGGGCGGGACACGUGGUAUCCUGUCUGAAUAUGGGGGGACCAUCCUCCAAGGCUAAAUACUCCUGACUGACCGAUAGUGAACCAGUACCGUGAGGGAAAGGCGAAAAGAACCCCGGCGAGGGGAGUGAAAAAGAACCUGAAACCGUGUACGUACAAGCAGUGGGAGCCUCUUAAUGGGGUGACUGCGUACCUUUUGUAUAAUGGGUCAGCGACUUAUAUUCUGUAGCAAGGUUAACCGAAUAGGGGAGCCGAAGGGAAACCGAGUCUUAACUGGGCGCUAAGUUGCAGGGUAUAGACCCGAAACCCGGUGAUCUAGCCAUGGGCAGGUUGAAGGUUGGGUAACACUAACUGGAGGACCGAACCGACUAAUGUUGAAAAAUUAGCGGAUGACUUGUGGCUGGGGGUGAAAGGCCAAUCAAACCGGGAGAUAGCUGGUUCUCCCCGAAAGCUAUUUAGGUAGCGCCUCGUGAAUUCAUCUCCGGGGGUAGAGCACUGUUUCGGCAAGGGGGUCAUCCCGACUUACCAACCCGAUGCAAACUGCGAAUACCGGAGAAUGUUAUCACGGGAGACACACGGCGGGUGCUAACGUCCGUCGUGAAGAGGGAAACAACCCAGACCGCCAGCUAAGGUCCCAAAGUCAUGGUUAAGUGGGAAACGAUGUGGGAAGGCCCAGACAGCCAGGAUGUUGGCUUAGAAGCAGCCAUCAUUUAAAGAAAGCGUAAUAGCUCACUGGUCGAGUCGGCCUGCGCGGAAGAUGUAACGGGGCUAAACCAUGCACCGAAGCUGCGGCAGCGACACUAUGUGUUGUUGGGUAGGGGAGCGUUCUGUAAGCCUGUGAAGGUGGCCUGUGAGGGUUGCUGGAGGUAUCAGAAGUGCGAAUGCUGACAUAAGUAACGAUAAAGCGGGUGAAAAGCCCGCUCGCCGGAAGACCAAGGGUUCCUGUCCAACGUUAAUCGGGGCAGGGUGAGUCGACCCCUAAGGCGAGGCCGAAAGGCGUAGUCGAUGGGAAACAGGUUAAUAUUCCUGUACUUGGUGUUACUGCGAAGGGGGGACGGAGAAGGCUAUGUUGGCCGGGCGACGGUUGUCCCGGUUUAAGCGUGUAGGCUGGUUUUCCAGGCAAAUCCGGAAAACCAAGGCUGAGGCGUGAUGACGAGGCACUACGGUGCUGAAGCGACAAAUGCCCUGCUUCCAGGAAAAGCCUCUAAGCAUCAGGUAACAUCAAAUCGUACCCCAAACCGACACAGGUGGUCAGGUAGAGAAUACCAAGGCGCUUGAGAGAACUCGGGUGAAGGAACUAGGCAAAAUGGUGCCGUAACUUCGGGAGAAGGCACGCUGAUAUGUAGGUGAAGCGACUUGCUCGUGGAGCUGAAAUCAGUCGAAGAUACCAGCUGGCUGCAACUGUUUAUUAAAAACACAGCACUGUGCAAACACGAAAGUGGACGUAUACGGUGUGACGCCUGCCCGGUGCCGGAAGGUUAAUUGAUGGGGUUAGCGGUAACGCGAAGCUCUUGAUCGAAGCCCCGGUAAACGGCGGCCGUAACUAUAACGGUCCUAAGGUAGCGAAAUUCCUUGUCGGGUAAGUUCCGACCUGCACGAAUGGCGUAAUGAUGGCCAGGCUGUCUCCACCCGAGACUCAGUGAAAUUGAACUCGCUGUGAAGAUGCAGUGUACCCGCGGCAAGACGGAAAGACCCCGUGAACCUUUACUAUAGCUUGACACUGAACAUUGAGCCUUGAUGUGUAGGAUAGGUGGGAGGCUUUGAAGUGUGGACGCCAGUCUGCAUGGAGCCGACCUUGAAAUACCACCCUUUAAUGUUUGAUGUUCUAACGUUGGCCCCUAAUCGGGGUUGCGGACAGUGUCUGGUGGGUAGUUUGACUGGGGCGGUCUCCUCCUAAAGAGUAACGGAGGAGCACGAAGGUUGGCUAAUCCUGGUCGGACAUCAGGAGGUUAGUGCAAUGGCAUAAGCCAGCUUGACUGCGAGCGUGACGGCGCGAGCAGGUGCGAAAGCAGGUCAUAGUGAUCCGGUGGUUCUGAAUGGAAGGGCCAUCGCUCAACGGAUAAAAGGUACUCCGGGGAUAACAGGCUGAUACCGCCCAAGAGUUCAUAUCGACGGCGGUGUUUGGCACCUCGAUGUCGGCUCAUCACAUCCUGGGGCUGAAGUAGGUCCCAAGGGUAUGGCUGUUCGCCAUUUAAAGUGGUACGCGAGCUGGGUUUAGAACGUCGUGAGACAGUUCGGUCCCUAUCUGCCGUGGGCGCUGGAGAACUGAGGGGGGCUGCUCCUAGUACGAGAGGACCGGAGUGGACGCAUCACUGGUGUUCGGGUUGUCAUGCCAAUGGCACUGCCCGGUAGCUAAAUGCGGAAGAGAUAAGUGCUGAAAGCAUCUAAGCACGAAACUUGCCCCGAGAUGAGUUCUCCCUGAGACUUAGAGUCUCCUGAAGGAACGUUGAAGACGACGACGUUGAUAGGCCGGGUGUGUAAGCGCAGCGAUGCGUUGAGCUAACCGGUACUAAUGAACCGUGAGGCUUAACCUUACAACGCCGAAG